Non-coding RNA from Oryza sativa Japonica Group (Japanese rice), 1069 nucleotides. The record is from RefSeq and is a predicted model, not a curated record. NCBI's taxonomy places the organism in Eukaryota, Viridiplantae, Streptophyta, Magnoliopsida, Poales, Poaceae.
UAAUAAAUUCGUCUCGCAGUUUACAGGUGAAAUCUGUAAUUUGUUUUGUUAUUAGUCUACGUUUAAUACUUGAAAUGUGUGUCCGUAUACAUAAAAAAAUUUGGAGGAGGAACUAAACAGGGCCUCUGUCUCCGUGAAAGAGAGAUAGAUGGGUGGGAGUGCUCGACUGCACCGUACAGAGCAUAGCUGCGGUCUCCAGAUUGGUGUGUAGCUUAAGUUUAAUGCUUGUGUGUGAGUGUUUGAGUGUGUGUGUGUGUGUUGGAACCUUCAUGCACAUGAAUCCUGGUGUCAACUCACGUGUGCAGUGCACGAGCUUGGACUCAUGUCUGGUCGACUGCUGCUCCUAUAGCAAGGCCAUUUAUGGGCAGAAAUAAUUAGUGAGCUAGCUGGCCGUCAGUGUGCCGCAUGCAUGGGCUCGUUCUGCUGCUGCUAGCCGCGCCAGAUGUGUGCGCCAGCUGCUCCUGUAUCUUUGCUUACCUCCCAUUCAGAUAUCUGACGUGUCAUGUGCGGUGGUAACUGGCGACUUGUUUUUUCUUUUGGCAGUGUGUUUGUUUUCGCAAAACACAGAAUGAAUAAGAAGAAGAUCUAGCAUGUGGUAUUGAAACUUUGAAAGGUUGCUUGAUUUUUAUACCAUUUAAUGUUGACUUGUCUUUAACUUCUGUUUUGGAGAUUCUCUUCUAACUCAAUACUUAUUCAUGUUUAAUAGGAGCAGGGAUUUAUCAAUCUUACACUACAAACGGAUCGGGCUGUACAGGUGGCCGAGGAGAAGAUUUUUUAUGAAAGCUUUUGAGAGACAUCGUCAAGCUUUUCUUUACAGGACAGAGAAACAUCUAAAUCUAGUGCCCAGAAGCAUUCCUGUCUGUAUCCUAAGGCAACCCAUGGGCCAUGGCAGCAUGAGAGAGUUGCUGGGGAGCAUGCACAUGUGAGGGAUAUUGAUUCUUCUUUCUGAAAAGAAAAAUAAUAAAUCAAGCUAAGGCUGUGUUUAGUUCACAUCAAAAUUGGAAGUUUGGUUGAAAUUGGAACGAUGUGACGGAAAAGUUGGAAGUUUGUGUGUGUAGGAAAGUUUUGA